Molecule: ribosomal RNA, 253 nt
Filed under: uncultured bacterium
Lineage: Bacteria
Description: partial 16S ribosomal RNA
Rfam family: Archaeal small subunit ribosomal RNA
Source: RNAcentral
UACCAGCACCCCGAGUGGUCGGGACGAUUAUUGGGCCUAAAGCAUCCGUAGCCGGUCCUACAAGUCUUCCGUUAAAUCCACCUGCUUAACAGAUGGGCUGCGGAAGAUACUAUAGGGCUAGGAGGCGGGAGAGGCAAGCGGUACUCAGUGGGUAGGGGUAAAAUCCUCUGAUCCAUUGAAGACCACCAGUGGCGAAGGCGGCUUGCCAGAACGCGCUCGACGGCGAGGGAUGAAAGCUGGGGGAGCAAACCGG